GCACAGGUGGGUGGGGGAGGAAGGCAAGUGUUGUCCAGGUGUUCUCAGUCUUGCUACAGAUAAGAGGAUUCCAGACAUACCGCAAUACAUCGAAUAUCCUCAUUCUCCCGCCUUCUGCCCUCCCUCCUGCACUCCCCCAGCCCCAGGAAAUGUCUUUCUUGGGGGAAGAACAUACUUGUGGGGAUACUAAAAGCCAAAUCCACCUCUUCUCCCUUGUGUGUCUUCAAAGCCUUCUUGCUCACAAAUUCAGCUUAGUAAACACCAUCUAACAAAACCCCACUCCAGUAAUUUAAGAAAUUGCUGCUUCAUCUCGAAGAAAAAUGUACAAGAGAACAACCAGGAAGACUCAUGCAAAUCCCGUUGCUCAUUACAGCCUACACAGCUAUGAAGCCUACUGCUCUCCAUGACUCCCUCAGGAUUCAAGUUAGCAACAUGUCUAGCCAAAAGAACAUAUGAGACCUGCUGUACAUCUGUGAACUAAAUUAUACUUGUCUGGAGAGACUGAAUUGUGCUGAAUAUUGGAGGGACCAUAUGUGAACUUAUCAAUGGCAGGGCAUACACCACAGGAUCUGACACUGCACCAGACCUGCUGCUCGGGCACUGUUAAUUCAUGGAGAAGUGUGAAUCCAGUGUGUCCAGGAUGCAUUGAAUUUCCUGCAUCUGCUUAACUCAGCUGUGUUUGAGCAGUAAACCAGAGGCUGGUCACCGGUGAGUUUAUAAAAGCAUUUAACAGCUCUAAAUCUGAUCUCUGAUGUACCUUCACACUUCACUUCAUAUGUGUAUAUGAAACACCUCAGUAAAAUCAGUGAGCCAUACCCACGCAUAAAGUUUCACUUGUGGCUUGGGGUCAAUAGGAACAUGUGGGUGUGUUACAUUUCCUCUGAAAAUGUUUCUUGGAUAAGCUCUCCAAGGAUUUUUAGGAAGGAUGAGCUGUCUUUUUUUCCUGGAUCCUAGCCCAGGAUCAUGACAAGAUGGGUGGUGACAUACUUUGCCAUGCCAUGAAUGGUUGUUUUCUGGGUACAUGGUAAGGCAUAAGCUCUGUGUGCCAGAGGAAGGAGUGUGAAAUUUGAAGUGCUCUUACUGAAUGGAAAUGUUUCCAUGACUUAGGUAAUUUGGUUUCAUUUUAGCCUUUUGAGAAUUCAAUUUAUUUUUUUUUAUUAUGGCCCUAAAUUAUUUCAUUCAACGUAGGUGUCACUAAAAGAAUCAGAUCUAAUAUCACUGAAACAACAAUCCAGUUUCUCUAGCCCCUUUCCAGAAUACUGAGAUCAUACCUGGAUAUGCUUUGAUUAAUAAAAGAAGGAGACAGUCAUGUUUAUAUCCCCCCUCCAUAUCUCAUGUUUUUACAUCAGUUGGAAGUACUGGAAGUUCCAAUUGUUUACUUCCAGGUUACUCAGCUCAUGAAUUUAGAAAAUGAGGAUCCUUUUUUUUGAGAGUUGAUCUGCCUAUGAACCAGGCAUCAUAGUCCUUGGGUCAGAAGUCAGCUGGGAAUAAUGGGGAGAGCUCAUACAGGUUCCAAUUCAACCCAGGAGAUUGGUACCAGAAAGAGAGGCAGCACAAUAUCCACAGGCUGUAGCACAAUGAUUUCAUUGAUGUCUUUGAGCACUGUUUCUUCCAUGGAUUACAGACUUGAUCUAGUGCAAAAGCCAAUUUGCUUAAUGUAUUUUAUGGGCAGAACAGAACCAGCCUUUCUUGAGGGAGGAAAAAAAAUCAAUUCUUCCUAUCCUUGGUGGUUUCCUCAUCUCUGCAUGCCCGCCAAGUGGGGAUAGGGUGAACACCGUGGCCUUACAAGUCACAGGUUAACACCAAACAGACUGGACUUUGUACACAGAGAUAUUUCUAUUUACUGUAAAUUAUUUUAGAGGGUUGAGGGUGGCUUUGGCUGUGCAAAGAUUACUUGUGUGCCCAGGU
Molecule: long non-coding RNA, 1908 nt
Organism: Passer domesticus (house sparrow)
Lineage: Eukaryota; Metazoa; Chordata; Aves; Passeriformes; Passeridae
Exons: 5
Source: RefSeq, a predicted model, not a curated record